UACGGAGGGGGCUAGCGUUGUUCGGAAUUACUGGGCGUAAAGCGCACGUAGGCGGCUUUGUAAGUUAGAGGUGAAAGCCCGGGGCUCAACUCCGGAAUUGCCUUUAAGACUGCAUCGCUAGAACGUCGGAGAGGUAAGUGGAAUUCCGAGUGUAGAGGUGAAAUUCGUAGAUAUUCGGAAGAACACCAGUGGCGAAGGCGACUUACUGGACGACCGUUGACGCUGAGGUGCGAAAGCGUGGGGAGCAAACAGGG
Molecule: ribosomal RNA, 254 nt
Filed under: uncultured bacterium
Lineage: Bacteria
Description: partial 16S ribosomal RNA
Rfam family: Bacterial small subunit ribosomal RNA
Source: RNAcentral